UAAUACGAACUGUGCGAACGUUAUUCGGAAUCACUGGGCUUAAAGGGUGCGUAGGCGGUUUUCCAAGUCAUGUGUGAAAUCUUCUGGCUCAACCAGAAAACUGCGCGUGAUACUAGAGAACUUGAGUGAGGUAGGGGUGUGUGGAACUUCCGGUGGAGCGGUGAAAUGUGUAGAGAUCGGAAGGAACGCCAGCAGCGAAAGCGGCACACUGGGCCUUUUCUGACGCUGAGGCACGAAAGCUAGGGGAGUGAACGGGAUUAGAUACCCCGGUAAUCCUAGCCGUAAACACUGAACACUGGAGGAAGGGGGCUUCGGCCUUCUUUCUCGUAGCGAAAGCGUUAAGUGUUCCGCCUGGGGAGUAUGGUCGCAAGGCUGAAACUUAAAGGAAUUGACGG
Molecule: ribosomal RNA, 395 nt
Filed under: uncultured bacterium
Lineage: Bacteria
Description: bacterial SSU rRNA
Rfam family: Bacterial small subunit ribosomal RNA
Source: RNAcentral